CAGUCAGAGUCGCCCGAUGCGCUCCGUUUCCUCGCCACACUUUUCUCUCUUCUCCUCCACUCCGUUUCCUCCAGUAAACCUGCUGUGAUCUUCAGGCACUUCGUGCCCAGACCGACACGUUAAAGGUCUUUAAAAAUCUAUCUCUCCAGUGGUUUUUGUUGAGUCCAUUCUAAAUAUUUCCUACGCCAAUCGACGUGGAGCUGAUGAGCUGGAGGAGAAUCGUGGAAACCUAGCACAGGUGACAGGAGCUUUUACGACGCUGCGGUACAGAUGAUUGACCAGUUUGAGCCUUAACUGAGCGCGCUGCGCCUCCUUUUACUUACACAGGGCGGAAACACGUUGUGGGGACAGCUUAAGGAACGAUGAUCAACUUGUGAUUUUGAACACGCGAAAGAACAAAAAUGUGUCGCUUCUGAAGAAGAUGUAACCUUUUGUUUUACGCACAGAAACGGACCCAGUUGCUCCUUUUCCCAUCAGAUGCUGGGUCUGCGUUUUUGCAGGAUUACAGUCAUGACUGUUGAGAGAAACCGGGCUGGAUUGUGAAAUCUUUUUUUUCUCUUUUCAAUUCUAUUUUUUGUCAAGAGGAAGUGAUCUGUUUCUUCAAUGGCUCCGGGGUCCAGACGCAGAGAUGCCUGCACUCGUUGGCCGAAGAUGUCGUCAACUUUCUGGGUAGUGGUGCUUCUGACGGCGCUGCUGGUUCUCUACUGCGGCCAGCUGGCAGCAGGGACAUGCGAGAUUGUGACGUUGGACAGGGACAGCAGCCAACCACGACGCACCAUCGCCAGGCAGACGGCCCGCUGUGCCUGUAAGAAGGGCCAGAUCGCCGGAACUACAAGAGCCAGACCCGCCUGUGUGGACGCUGGCAUUGUUCGAAAAAAGCAGUGGUGUGAGAUGGUUCCGUGUUUGGAGGAUGAAGGCUGUGACCUGUUAGUCAAUAAAUCUGGAUGGACUUGUACGCAGCCCGGAGGCCGAGUCAAAACCACCACGGCUCUAUGACGCGACAAGAGUUCCCCUCGACACUCUUGCACUAUGGAGAGCAUUGAUGACCCCAUGACAGACAGCCAAAAUCCACCUACCAACACCACCACCAUCACAGCAGCUCCACCCAUACCCUGGUGCAACAAAGCCAGGAAGCAUCAAAAGCAGCGACAGAGAAACAAGAGCCUCACUGAGGCAUCAAGGUCUCGUAACAGCCAGAGUCAUCCAAACCAGGGAGUGACUGAGUUUUCCACUGAUCCUGGAUGAAUUUGCUAUUAUUCGCUCCCUGCUUCCUCUGACUUGCAUUUCGGGGUUUCUGACUGCUCCCUCCUGCUGUCUGUCACCAGGUCAACAUGUUGCGCCCUCCUCCUCCUCGUCACUGCGUCCGCCUGCUCUGUGAUUUCAGCAGCGCCUGCUCAUGCCACGGAGGAUUGGACACCUUCAAGCUCCAUGAAUGGUUUCUGUCAUUGGAUGUCCUCUUGUAGGAGCUGCUAGCUGCAUUAAAUAAGUAAUUCCUCACAUCUUUACCAAGUGCAGUAGUUCCAGAGCAUAGCUGGGAUCAUUACAGACCAAACUCUGUUGCUACGGACCACCUCACGAGGUCGUUACGAAAAAGAAAACAAACUGUGUGCUCUCAGCUGUGAAUAGGCCUUCUGCUGGAGUAAAACUGUUAUUUUUAUAGACCAAAGAUCAAAAUGACUAAUAUGAUUACGAUGGCCGAGGAUCAGCUGGUAAAAGACAGAACAUCUUAAUAUUCCUCAUGCGUUGCCACCACCAAGGCUGUCCUCACAAAAACAUGGUGCACAAGUGGACGACGCAACCUUUUGCAACUGAUGGCAUAUGUACACAAUCAGUGGAGUGCUUUUAAAACCUUUCAGACUUUUUUUUCUCAAACUAUAGGUCCACAAAUGUACUUCAGAACUGCAAAAAUAGGUACUGCAAUGUAUAACUGUAUUGAAAAAAGGAGAAAAAUGUCAGAUGUGAGAUUUUCAGUAGCUAUGGUUUGGACUGCUUAAAGGAAGAAACGUGAAAUGGGUCAAGGAAAUCAUAUCACAGAAAUGAUCGAUAUCUACAGAGUACGAAUGGUGGAGUAAAGAAUUGCCAUUAAAUGUAUUUUGAAAGGCCCUAAAAAGUUAUAUAUUUAACAGUUUUAUAUGUUGUACCUUUGUAGAGAAGCUUAUUGGACUUAAAUGUGGUCACAAUGGCAGUUUAGUAGAAAGUGAACAAAUGCUGUUCUCAUUACUGCUGGCUCGUUGUCUCUGGUUUUCGGUUCACACCUCAGUAGCUGCUUUCUUUUCAUAGUCAUCUCUAAGUCAGUCUAUUAGAACCAUCCACGAAAAAAGGAAAGUGACACAAUUUACUGAGGACUGAUCUGCAGCCAACAGAAUAUUGUAAAUCUAUGGUAGUCAGUGGAAGCCAUUGAAAUCUGCUAAUUUGCUAUGAUAUUGUAUUGUACACGAUGUGGAAUACUUAUUCAUUUCCUCUCUCUGAGUUUGAGCUCUUAAUUUAUUUUUGUGCUUGUGUUUGUUCGCACAAAUCGGCCGCUCUCCGACAGCAAUGGAGACAACGAGGAGAGCGAGAGAAAUAGCACUGCAAACAUAGUCAUAUAAAUACAUUUUUUAUCAUGAAAUAUUUUAAGAAUAAAUUAAAUACAUGAAAUGACUUGUCCUCUGGGAAUUUAGAUGUUUUGGGUGUUCAAGGUCAACGGAACACAUUUGAAGUCCUUUUUUCCUGCUGCUAUUUUUUUAUCGGCCUAAUCACUUUUGGAAUAAAGUACUUAAAGUUGCACUAGAUAUAAUCAUCAUGAAACCUAUUUUAGACAUGCUUUUUUCCAUGAUUUUGAGAACAACUGAACUUGUCAUGUUUUUGUUUGAUUUCUUGCAAUUUGCCAGGUGUGACAUCAUCAAGAGCUGAAUGUAGCAUCAUAAACAUUUCUACUAAAGUGUUACCAACAUUCCCAGUGCAGAUUGGAUUCUACCAGGACUACCUCUGAUUUCUAGUGUUCAUGAACAAGACUUCAAGGUGUGGAGAGUGUCUGUCUGGUUUAGGACCUUCAGGUUCUCAUCUCUGCUUUAUGCAGAUGAUGUGAUUCUGUUGGAAUUUUCAACGUCUGCUUAAGUGGCUCACAGCCCAGAUACGGUUCAAGUCUGAGUUGAAAGGGAGUUCCUGCCUCAAGCAAAGAUGAUGUAAGUGUCUUGGUGUCUUGUUCAUAAGUGAUGGUAAGAUGAGCCAACUGGGUUUUCAUCUUCAGCAAAGAGGACAUUGCUCUGGUCUGUUAGAGAAGGAGCUGUGGUAAAAGACCUACAAAAGGUCACCUACUGGUCCAUCUACCUUUUUACUCUCACCUAUGGUCAUGAGAUUUGGAUCAAAACCAAAAUAAACAAGAUCUCAGAUACAA
RNA transcript from Nothobranchius furzeri (turquoise killifish), 3376 nucleotides. It is a transcript of the gene named TAFA chemokine like family member 5, with no coding region annotated. The record is from RefSeq and is a predicted model, not a curated record. NCBI's taxonomy places the organism in Eukaryota, Metazoa, Chordata, Actinopteri, Cyprinodontiformes, Nothobranchiidae.